UCCUGGAAUCUUCUUUUUGACUCUCCCUUUAUAAAACCAACAGAGGAGAAUCAGAAUUCCUUCACGACGACAGAAAUCCUUCUGUUAGUUCUCCAAUUUCUUUGAUUUCACCAACAAUAACUAUAACUAGUAUCUGUUAUUUCGUCAUUUCCUGUGCCGAAGAUGAGUGACCCCAAGUAUGCUUAUCCAUAUCCUGCUCAAGGCUAUUAUCAAGGGCCUCCUGUAAUGGCACCUCCACAAUAUGCUGCUCCACCACCCAGGAGAGGACCAGGUUUCCUUGAAGGAUGUCUUGCAGCCUUAUGUUGCUGUUGUCUCAUUGACGAGUGCUGCUGCGAUCCGUCCAUCAUCUUCGUGAGCUGAUCCUUCCUGUGUCUCUGUUUCUGUUUCUAUCUGUUGUAACGAUGGGGUGUGAUCCUGUUUGUAGACUUAAUGAUAUCUCAGUAUCCAUCCUUUCUCUAAUUUCUAAAUAAUAUAUUGGGUAAGAUAGAUAAAUCACUGGUUUCUUCUUUGUUUUUGUUUUUUUUUUAUCCUUUCUUUCGAUAAAGAUUAAUCAUGGAGGAGAGAUUGGUGGAUGUGAGUAAGACAAUUUGGUUGAUGAAGUCUACUAUCCAGGUCCCGAACUCUAACAUGGACUCGUGGAAAAAGUUGCUUCUCAUUUUCUAAAGUAAACAAUGACAGCGACGUUGAUACUCUGUUUUCAUACGCUUACUACGCCUAUAUAUGCAGUAGCAUUAAUAGGUUCUACCUGCCUCUGCGGCUCUGCCUACCAAGGGGAAAACAAAUUAAUCUGAAAAAAUGUAGGGGCACGAAAUAACGCACUGCUGUUACUGGUUGCACCUUACGCUAUUCAGUGUUGAGCAUCUGAUGAUCUAACUGAUGAUGGAAACUUAUUCGUUAAGUGACUCACUUGAAAUGUUUGCUUAUUAUUGAUGGCUUGGCAAAGCCAUCGAUAGAAAUGCAUUUUUUGCUGAGAUAAGAUUUUCUGCACCAAUGCCCACCACUCCACCAGAUGAGUCAUCACGUUGCA
This is a long non-coding RNA of Nelumbo nucifera (sacred lotus), 1027 nucleotides long. RefSeq lists it as uncharacterized. NCBI's taxonomy places the organism in Eukaryota, Viridiplantae, Streptophyta, Magnoliopsida, Proteales, Nelumbonaceae. The record is from RefSeq and is a predicted model, not a curated record.